AGUGAACGCUGGCGGUAGGCCUAACACAUGCAAGUCGAACGGCAGCACAGUAAGAGCUUGCUCUUACGGGUGGCGAGUGGCGGACGGGUGAGGAAUACAUCGGAAUCUACUUUUUCGUGGGGGAUAACGUAGGGAAACUUACGCUAAUACCGCAUACGACCUACGGGUGAAAGCAGGGGAUCUUCGGACCUUGCGCGAUUGAAUGAGCCGAUGUCGGAUUAGCUAGUUGGCGGGGUAAAGGCCCACCAAGGCGACGAUCCGUAGCUGGUCUGAGAGGGUGAUCAGCCACACUGGAACGGAGACACGGUCCAGACUCCUACGGGAGGCAGCAGUGGGGAAUAUUGGACAAUGGGCGCAAGCCUGAUCCAGCCAUACCGCGUGGGUGAAGAAGGCCUUCGGGUUGUAAAGCCCUUUUGUUGGGAAAGAAAAGCAGCAGGUUAAUACCCCGCUGUUCUGACGGUACCCAAAGAAUAAGCACCGGCUAACUUCGUG
This 492-nucleotide ribosomal RNA is filed under the name uncultured bacterium. Its description in RNAcentral is "partial 16S ribosomal RNA". It matches the Rfam family "Bacterial small subunit ribosomal RNA", at positions 29 to 507 of the family's 1533-position model. The record is from RNAcentral.